AAUUCGAUGGCUCGUUUGUUUAUCUCCGUCCCAUGCCCUCACGGGUGGUGGGUCGGACGCCAGGCAAGCCUCGUGUCCCCGGCACGCCUAGCCCAGCUGCAUGGCUGCCUCGGCGCAUGAGGCUCUUCGCCCGUGCUCUCGGAUUCGGAAUGUUAUGUGCUGCGGGUGGGUGGCUCAUCGGAGGCACUCCAUCCGGUCAAGCGAGGCAUUUUGUCCAACGAGACGAACGACUGCUGCACCCGUCUUUAGGCCCGCGGCCUCACGGCUCGGCAGGGCUCAUG
RNAcentral lists this unclassified non-coding RNA (281 nucleotides) under Canarium boivinii. RNAcentral describes it as "partial external transcribed spacer". Lineage: Eukaryota; Viridiplantae; Streptophyta; Magnoliopsida; Sapindales; Burseraceae. The record is from RNAcentral.